GUGGGGAAUCUUGCGCAAUGGGCGAAAGCCUGACGCAGCCAUGCCGCGUGAAUGAUGAAGGUCUUAGGAUUGUAAAAUUCUUUCACCGGGGACGAUAAUGACGGUACCCGGAGAAGAAGCUCCGGCUAACUUCGUGCCAGCAGCCGCGGUAAUACGAAGGGGGCUAGCGUUGCUCGGAAUUACUGGGCGUAAAGGGCGCGUAGGCGGACAGCUUAGUCAGAGGUGAAAGCCCAGGGCUCAACCUUGGAAUUGCCUCUGAUACUGGCUGUCUUGAGUUUGGGAGAGGUGAGUGGAACUCCGAGUGUAGAGGUGAAAUUCGUAGAUAUUCGGAAGAACACCAGUGGCGAAGGCGACUCACUGGCCCGUUACUGACGCUGAGGCGCGAAAGCGUGGGGAGCAAACAGGAUUAGAUACCCUAGUAGUCC
Molecule: ribosomal RNA, 425 nt
Filed under: uncultured bacterium
Lineage: Bacteria
Description: partial 16S ribosomal RNA
Rfam family: Bacterial small subunit ribosomal RNA
Source: RNAcentral